ACGAACGCUGGCGGCGUGCAUCACACAUGCAAGUCGCACGGAAAGGCCCUGCUUGCAGGGUACUCGAGUGGCGAACGGGUGAGUAACACGUGGGUGAUCUGCCCUGCACUUCGGGAUAAGCCUGGGAAACUGGGUCUAAUACCGGAUAGGAGCCAUUUUUAGUGUGAUGGUUGGAAAGUUUUUUCGGUGUAGGAUGAGCUCGCGGCCUAUCAGCUUGUUGGUGGGGUAAUGGCCUACCAAGGCGGCGACGGGUAGCCGGCCUGAGAGGGUGGACGGCCACAUUGGGACUGAGAUACGGCCCAGACUCCUACGGGAGGCAGCAGUGGGGAAUAUUGCACAAUGGGCGCAAGCCUGAUGCAGCGACGCCGCGUGGGGGAUGACGGCCUUCGGGUUGUAAACGCCUUUCGCUAGGGACGAAGCUUUUUGUGACGGUACCUAGAGAAGAAGCACCGGCUAACUACGUG
RNAcentral lists this ribosomal RNA (464 nucleotides) under uncultured bacterium. RNAcentral describes it as "partial 16S ribosomal RNA". It matches the Rfam family "Bacterial small subunit ribosomal RNA", at positions 29 to 507 of the family's 1533-position model. The record is from RNAcentral.